This 365-nucleotide long non-coding RNA is filed under the name Nicotiana benthamiana. RNAcentral's name for it is "long non-coding RNA (NBEN_LNC037189)". Lineage: Eukaryota; Viridiplantae; Streptophyta; Magnoliopsida; Solanales; Solanaceae. The record is from RNAcentral.
GCAGUCCUGGGGGAGGUACAGGUCGUGCUGGUGCUUCCUCGACCUUUGGGGGGAGCGGAGGAGAAUCAAAUGGAGGCAGUGCUAUUGGAUCACCAGGUUUCCACCCAGGUGGAGGAAGUGGGAGGUUAGUGGGCAACUCGACAGGCAUGCCAGGUUUCCAUCCAGAUGGCACUACAAUAUUUGGAGUGAUGAGGCCCUGAAUAUUGGCAAGUGGGUUAGGAAGUGGGAGGUCAGUGGGCAACUCGACAGGCAUACCAGGUUUCGAUCCAGAUGGCACUAUGACAUUUGGAGGGAUGAGGCGUGGAAUUGCUGAAAGAUUGGUUAUAUCUGCUGAAGGUUCAAUGAGCGGCUCAAUAAUCUUCUCU